CCAGGUGCAUCGCCCCGUAGCUAUGUCGGGAACGGAUAACCGCUGAAAGCAUCUAAGCGGGAAGCCAACUCCAAGAUUAGGAAUCGUUAAGGAUCGUGGGAGAUGACCACGUUGAUAGGCGCUCGGUGGAAGUGCAGUAAUGCAUUGAGCCAAGGCGUACUAAUAAUCCAACAGAACU
This 178-nucleotide ribosomal RNA is filed under the name Candidatus Kaiserbacteria bacterium RIFCSPHIGHO2_01_FULL_58_22. RNAcentral's name for it is "partial 23S ribosomal RNA". It matches the Rfam family "Bacterial large subunit ribosomal RNA", at positions 2729 to 2925 of the family's 2925-position model. The record is from RNAcentral. Lineage: Bacteria; Candidatus Kaiseribacteriota.